UGCGCAGGCGGUUUCUUAAGUCAGAUGUGAAAGCCCCGGGCUUAACCUGGGAACUGCGUUUGAAACUGGGAGACUUGAGUGUGGCAGAGGGGGGUGGAAUUCCACGUGUAGCAGUGAAAUGCGUAGAUAUGUGGAGGAACACCGAUGGCGAAGGCAGCCCCCUGGGCUAACACUGACGCUCAUGCACGAAAGCGUGGGGAGCAAACA
This 207-nucleotide ribosomal RNA is filed under the name uncultured bacterium. RNAcentral describes it as "partial 16S ribosomal RNA". It matches the Rfam family "Bacterial small subunit ribosomal RNA", at positions 568 to 774 of the family's 1533-position model. The record is from RNAcentral.